UUGGUAAUCUUCCGCAAUGGACGCAAGUCUGACGGAGCAACGCCGCGUGAGUGAAGAAGGUUUUCGGAUCGUAAAACUCUGUUGUAAGAGAAGAACAAAUUGUAGCGUAACUGCUACAGUCUUGACGGUAUCUUACCAGAAAGCCACGGCUAACUACGUGCCAGCAGCCGCGGUAAUACGUAGGUGGCAAGCGUUGUCCGGAUUUAUUGGGCGUAAAGGGGGCGCAGGCUGCUUCUUAAGUCUGAUGUGAAAGCCCACGGCUUAACCGUGGAAGUGCAUUGGAAACUGGGAAGCUUGAGUACAGAAGAGGAAAGGGGAACUCCAUGUGUAGCGGUGGAAUGCGUAGAUAUACGGAAGACCACCAGUGGAGAAAGCGACUUGCUGGACUGUCAAUGACGCUGAGGACCGAAAGCGUGGGUAGCAAACAGG
RNAcentral lists this ribosomal RNA (429 nucleotides) under Verrucomicrobiota bacterium. Its description in RNAcentral is "Verrucomicrobia bacterium partial 16S ribosomal RNA". It matches the Rfam family "Bacterial small subunit ribosomal RNA", at positions 355 to 776 of the family's 1533-position model. Lineage: Bacteria; Pseudomonadati; Verrucomicrobiota. The record is from RNAcentral.